GGCAUUCAUUAAUGAAGUGUUUAAAAAUACUGACUCAGAGUAAGUUACCUCUCUGUCAGAAACGGUCUUGACAAACCUCCCGUUCUGAAACAGAAAACCUAGAGUUUCCCUCAUUUCAGGGUUAACAUACUCAGAGUUUUCACUUAACGUCCUUUGUAAAACAGGCUCCGGGCGGUUUCUGAACCAAUGCUUAGAAACAAAGAUUCAAAAAUGAUUCGAAGCCUCAUGAAUACUCGAAAGCGGCUCUCGGUGAUCCCUGGAGCCACCGCUGGGGGCAGUAGAGCGCUGCCGAGGCUCUGCCUGAGAUCAAAACGGAAGAAGACUCACUCCAUGUGCGCUUCGAGCAGCGGUGAGGGUCGAAGAUUGGCAGCAACAAGUCGAAGUGGACGAGACCGGAGUCACGUGUAGGAUUCAUCUCAGCACGUGUUCUGUUGGUGUGAUUAGUUAUUAAUAAUGAGAUCUGGGGAAUAACUUGUUCUUGUCUGUUAUGGUGUGAGACUUACAUUUUGUAGUUCUGUUCUGUGAAAUCCAAUAAAUGUGUUUUUUCAACAGUCA
Molecule: long non-coding RNA, 555 nt
Organism: Carassius auratus (goldfish)
Lineage: Eukaryota; Metazoa; Chordata; Actinopteri; Cypriniformes; Cyprinidae
Exons: 2
Source: RefSeq, a predicted model, not a curated record